AGCUUUGCGCAGUGGCAGUAUCGUAGCCAGUGAGAUUUAUCCGAGGCGCAAUUAUUGCUAAUUAAACUUUUACAU
This 75-nucleotide small nuclear RNA is filed under the name Mustela putorius furo (domestic ferret). RNAcentral describes it as "U4 spliceosomal RNA". It matches the Rfam family "U4 spliceosomal RNA", at positions 1 to 77 of the family's 138-position model. From Rfam's summary of the family: U4 small nuclear RNA (U4 snRNA) is a component of the major U2-dependent spliceosome. The structure of U4 snRNA from yeast and human has been reported. U4 snRNA presents a k-turn RNA motif in the 5p-SL related to recognition of Snu13 protein. The record is from Rfam by way of RNAcentral. Lineage: Eukaryota; Metazoa; Chordata; Mammalia; Carnivora; Mustelidae.